CAGAGGUGAAGAUACGCAGGACGUCCUCUAAAGCAACUUCCGUGGGUGCCAGGUUGUGGGCUGGGGGCGGUGCUGACCUUGAGAGAGCGGAGGAGGCGCAGGCGCAGCACAGUUUAAACUUGAUUUUGUGAGGGGACGAACAGCGUGACAAUUAAAAGAAGAUCUGGGAAUCGAAUACCCAUCUCGAGUUCUGGAUAUGUGCUCUGAGAAGGUGCCCAUGUCACCGACCACACUGGAGGCCAAUGCAGAUACUGGGGGAAGGUUCCAUGGUAGCUAAGUGUGGACAAGCUAAUCACUGAAGUUCCCUGAUGCAGAGUUGAUAAUCUCUCUAGAGUUGGAUGAAAGACUGUGCUGCCUUGAAGCUCUGAGAGAUGCCAUGCCAAUUCAAGGCAGGGUCUUUAUUGUUGAAACUCUUGCGUAAUGACAUCUUUAUUCAGGUGAAAAUACAGGAUGAAUUUCAACUAUAUGAUAUUGUUUAUGUUCCUCAGACAUGUUAUUUGUCUUUACAAAGAUUGGUUUCAAUAAACUGUGUGACUGAUAUUAAAUAAACAUGGAAUUUUACACAUUCAUAAUAUUUGGUUUCUU
RNAcentral lists this long non-coding RNA (585 nucleotides) under Homo sapiens (human). RNAcentral describes it as "non-protein coding TMEM161B-AS1:6". The record is from RNAcentral. Lineage: Eukaryota; Metazoa; Chordata; Mammalia; Primates; Hominidae.